CAGAGUAAGGCUUCGGGCGUGUGAGAUUCACGAAGUGUCCUGCGGACGGGGAGUUGCCGCAGGAACGAACGGACAUUCCGGCGAUCCGAGGUCUGCAUCCCGCUGU
RNAcentral lists this non-coding RNA (106 nucleotides) under bovine gut metagenome. RNAcentral's name for it is "THF riboswitch". It matches the Rfam family "THF (Tetrahydrofolate) riboswitch aptamer". Rfam says of the family: THF riboswitch presents a pseudoknot that joins P1-P2 and the loop of P3 and two THF binding. The record is from RNAcentral.